UGGAGCCUCCCUUAGUCCAGCAGCCCCUGGUGCCAACCCCUCUUUUUUGAUUGAAUAUUUGUUUCAGCCAAGUGGGAACCAAAUAUUAAAUCUAACUCCUGCCAGUGCCAACCAGUCAGCUAGCAAAGCAUGCCAUGGGUGUGGUUCCUUGAAAAGCCAGCGCAAUGAAUCUUAAGGUGGAUUACUUUGAAGCAGAAAUGAUACAAAGUCAGAAGAUACCUUAUGAUUUUCACUUCCUUUUAUCCACAACCACAAUUCUGAUGCAACAGAAUACAGAAACUAUGUCUUAGCCAAUUUUUCUUUCUAAGAUACAGCUCUUCAGCAGGUAAGUACCUUGAUAACAGUUUUGGUGGGCAUUGGUUCAGUAAUGCUAUUUCCAUAGUUCAUUAAAAAAAACCAAGAAGAAAACAAAGGAGGAA
Molecule: long non-coding RNA, 419 nt
Organism: Corvus hawaiiensis (hawaiian crow)
Lineage: Eukaryota; Metazoa; Chordata; Aves; Passeriformes; Corvidae
Exons: 3
Source: RefSeq, a predicted model, not a curated record